Molecule: ribosomal RNA, 662 nt
Filed under: Salmonella enterica subsp. enterica serovar Worthington
Lineage: Bacteria; Pseudomonadati; Pseudomonadota; Gammaproteobacteria; Enterobacterales; Enterobacteriaceae
Description: partial 23S ribosomal RNA
Rfam family: Bacterial large subunit ribosomal RNA
Source: RNAcentral
GUGGACGCCAGUCUGCGUGGAGCCAACCUUGAAAUACCACCCUUUAAUGUUUGAUGUUCUAACGUGGACCCGUAAUCCGGGUUGCGGACAGUGUCUGGUGGGUAGUUUGACUGGGGCGGUCUCCUCCUAAAGAGUAACGGAGGAGCACGAAGGUUGGCUAAUCCUGGUCGGACAUCAGGAGGUUAGUGCAAUGGCAUAAGCCAGCUUGACUGCGAGCGUGACGGCGCGAGCAGGUGCGAAAGCAGGUCAUAGUGAUCCGGUGGUUCUGAAUGGAAGGGCCAUCGCUCAACGGAUAAAAGGUACUCCGGGGAUAACAGGCUGAUACCGCCCAAGAGUUCAUAUCGACGGCGGUGUUUGGCACCUCGAUGUCGGCUCAUCACAUCCUGGGGCUGAAGUAGGUCCCAAGGGUAUGGCUGUUCGCCAUUUAAAGUGGUACGCGAGCUGGGUUUAGAACGUCGUGAGACAGUUCGGUCCCUAUCUGCCGUGGGCGCUGGAGAACUGAGGGGGGCUGCUCCUAGUACGAGAGGACCGGAGUGGACGCAUCACUGGUGUUCGGGUUGUCAUGCCAAUGGCACUGCCCGGUAGCUAAAUGCGGAAGAGAUAAGUGCUGAAAGCAUCUAAGCACGAAACUUGCCCCGAGAUGAGUUCUCCCUGAGACUUAG